Molecule: long non-coding RNA, 360 nt
Organism: Lethenteron reissneri (Far Eastern brook lamprey)
Lineage: Eukaryota; Metazoa; Chordata; Hyperoartia; Petromyzontiformes; Petromyzontidae
Source: RefSeq, a predicted model, not a curated record
CCGGGGGGGUGAGAGUCACUGGUCGUGGAUUCGAUCCUCAGCCAUUCAUUGCCAAGUCAACUCCGGCGGUGCAACGCGGAGGGAAAGGAGCGAGAGAGAGAGUAGCAAGUAGCAGCAGGAGAUAGAGAGAGGAGAGGACAAGGGGUAGUGAUAGAGACAGCGAGAGAGAGAGACGGAGAGAGGCAGAGAAGAAAGAGAAGGCGGAGGAGGAGAAUAAUGGCAGGCGGCGUGGUUCUGUCGGCAAAGAAUGCGGCCACCUCGAUUCUGAGGUUGACGUCGCAGGCGGCGAAAGUGCUGCCCAGGCUGGGCAACGUCGCGUCGGCGAGAUGCCUGAGUUCGUCGUUCAAGGCGUCCGACUUA